Molecule: ribosomal RNA, 192 nt
Filed under: Aurantiochytrium limacinum
Lineage: Eukaryota; Bigyra; Thraustochytrida; Thraustochytriidae
Description: partial Eukaryotic large subunit ribosomal RNA
Rfam family: Eukaryotic large subunit ribosomal RNA
Source: RNAcentral
GGGUGAGUCGCUCCUAAGCGGAAGGCAAAUGCUCUUGAAUGUAAGUUUUUCACAAAAUUUCAUACCGCAAAAGGGAAUUUGGUUAAAAUUCCAAAACGACGUCAAUUGUGGGAGAUUGCGCGGCAACGCAACGAGACUGCGACACGGUGGAAUGGGAACUGAAAAGAGUCCUCUUUUCUUUUUAACGAUUUC